Molecule: ribosomal RNA, 492 nt
Filed under: uncultured bacterium
Lineage: Bacteria
Description: partial 16S ribosomal RNA
Rfam family: Bacterial small subunit ribosomal RNA
Source: RNAcentral
AGUGAACGCUGGCGGUAGGCCUAACACAUGCAAGUCGAACGGCAGCACAGUAAGAGCUUGCUCUUACGGGUGGCGAGUGGCGGACGGGUGAGGAAUACAUCGGAAUCUACUUUUUCGUGGGGGAUAACGUAGGGAAACUUACGCUAAUACCGUAUACGACCUACGGGUGAAAGCAGGGGAUCUUCGGACCUUGCGCGAUUGAAUGAGCCGAUGUCGGAUUAGCUAGUUGGCGGGGUAAAGGCCCACCAAGGCGACGAUCCGUAGCUGGUCUGAGAGGAUGAUCAGCCACACUGGAACUGAGACACGGUCCAGACUCCUACGGGAGGCAGCAGUGGGGAAUAUUGGACAAUGGGCGCAAGCCUGAUCCAGCCAUACCGCGUGGGUGAAGAAGGCCUUCGGGUUGUAAAGCCCCUUUGUUGGGAAAGAAAAGCAGCAGGUUAAUACCCCGCUGUUCUGACGGUACCCAAAGAAUAAGCACCGGCUAACUUCGUG